CGGCGUGCUUAACACAUGCAAGUCGAGCGGAAAGGCCCUUCGGGGGUACUCGAGCGGCGAACGGGUGAGUACACGUGAGUAAUCUGCCCUUGGCUUUGGGAUAACUACCGGAAACGGUGGCUAAUACCGGAUACGACGCACUCAGGCAUCUGAUGUGUGUGGAAAGUUUUUUCGGCCAGGGAUGUGCUCGCGGCCUAUCAGCUUGUUGGUGGGGUAAUGGCCUACCAAGGCUUCGACGGGUAGCCGGCCUGAGAGGGUGACCGGCCACACUGGGACUGAGACACGGCCCAGACUCCUACGGGAGGCAGCAGUGGGGAAUAUUGGACAAUGGGCGGAAGCCUGAUCCAGCAACGCCGCGUGAGGGAUGACGGCCUUCGGGUUGUAAACCUCUUUCAGUACCGACGAAGCGCCGAUGAUGGUGGUGACGGUAGGUGCAGAAGAAGCACCGGCCAACUACGUG
RNAcentral lists this ribosomal RNA (460 nucleotides) under uncultured bacterium. RNAcentral describes it as "bacterial SSU rRNA". It matches the Rfam family "Bacterial small subunit ribosomal RNA", at positions 40 to 507 of the family's 1533-position model. The record is from RNAcentral.